This 253-nucleotide ribosomal RNA is filed under the name uncultured bacterium. RNAcentral describes it as "partial 16S ribosomal RNA". It matches the Rfam family "Bacterial small subunit ribosomal RNA", at positions 524 to 776 of the family's 1533-position model. The record is from RNAcentral.
UACGUAGGUGGCAAGCGUUGUCCGGAUUUAUUGGGUUUAAAGGGUGCGUAGGCGGCCUUGUAAGUCAGUGCUGAAAUAUCCCGGCUUAACCGGGAGGGUGGCAUUGGUACUGCAGGGCUUGAGUAAAGUUGAGGUUGGCGGAAUUGACGGUGUAGCGGUGAAAUGCUUAGAUAUCGUCAAGAACACCGAUAGUGAAGACAGCUAACUAAGCUUUAACUGACGCUGAGGCACGAAAGUGUGGGGAUCAAACAGG